CUCAGGAUGAACGCUGGCGGCGUGCGUAACACAUGCAAGUCGAACGAAGCAGAAGGAUGCUUGCAUCCUUUUGACUGAGUGGCGGACGGGUGAGUAACGUGUGGAGAACCUACCUUACACAGGGGGAUAACGGCUGGAAACGGCUGCUAAUACCGCAUAAGCAUACAGCUUCGCAUGAAGCCGUGUGAAAAGAAGUAUCGGUGUAAGAUGGCUCCGCAUCUGAUUAGCUAGUUGGUGAGGUAAUGGCUCACCAAGGCAACGAUCAGUAGCCGGCCUGAGAGGGCGACCGGCCACAUUGGGACUGAGACACGGCCCAGACUCCUACGGGAGGCAGCAGUGGGGAAUCUUGCACAAUGGGAGAAACCCUGAUGCAGCAACGCCGCGUGAGCGAAGAAGUAUUUCGGUAUGUAAAGCUCUAUCAGCAGGGAAUAGAAAAGAAGGUACCUGACUAAGAAGCCCCGGCUAACUACGUGCCAGCAGCCGCGGUAAUACGUAGGGGGCAAGCGUUAUCCGGAUUUACUGGGUGUAAAGGGAGCGUAGACGGCUGUUUAAGUCAGAAGUGAAAGCCCAUUGCUUAACGAUGGGACUGCUUUUGAAACUAAGGAGCUGGAGUGCAGGAGAGGUAAGUGGAAUUCCUAGUGUAGCGGUGAAAUGCGUAGAGAUUAGGAGGAACACCAGUGGCGAAGGCGGCUUACUGGACUGUAACUGACGUUGAGGCUCGAAAGCGUGGGGAGCAAACAAGGUUAGAUACCCUGGCAGUCCACGCGGUAAA
Molecule: ribosomal RNA, 772 nt
Filed under: uncultured bacterium
Lineage: Bacteria
Description: bacterial SSU rRNA
Rfam family: Bacterial small subunit ribosomal RNA
Source: RNAcentral